GGGGAAAUGCGAGGCUGUGCCGAGCUAUUUCCCCGUUUCGGGCCGAAUCCUUAUAUCGUUGAUAUGUCAAGUCAAUGCACUAUUAUUGUUUUUAUACUUCAAUCUAAAAAAACAUUUUCAAUAAAAAUGAUGUUUAAUGCGUUAAGGUUAUUUAUUUGAUUUAAAUAUUUGGGGAAAUCCCCUUUAAAAAGGCCUCAUAUCAUGCUCACGGAGAAAUUUUGAACACAAUGAAAUGUACAUUUACCUGUUGAAACCCACACUCGAUGGUGAACGAAAUCAUUUGAGUAUGGACUAAAAUAUCAACCAUAAGCAUAACAAAUUAAUGAUUUAUAGGUUGCAAACAAAAAAUAUUAAUAAAUGAAAUAUGUUUUUCCUAUAAUUGCAAAAGAAACAAGGUUGAGUCGUUCCACGCAUCGUUGUAUGCAUUGGAAACAAGAACAGGUUGAAGAGGUCGUAUGAAUAAUUAAAUGUUAUUUCGGCAACUUCUAUUUAAAUAUUCAUGAGGAAAAGUGAUAUCGGGUCAGUGACUGUAUAU
RNAcentral lists this long non-coding RNA (535 nucleotides) under Mytilus galloprovincialis (Mediterranean mussel). The record is from RNAcentral. Lineage: Eukaryota; Metazoa; Mollusca; Bivalvia; Mytilida; Mytilidae.